This 374-nucleotide long non-coding RNA is filed under the name Dermacentor andersoni. RNAcentral describes it as "uncharacterized LOC126543143". Lineage: Eukaryota; Metazoa; Arthropoda; Arachnida; Ixodida; Ixodidae. The record is from RNAcentral.
CGCAACAAACAUUCUGCCACUAACACUGGGACGCCGCAAGACGUACCAGAAACUGUGGAGGUUGAAUUGUUUGUCGUGGUGGACACAUUCUACAGCAAACAUUUUCAUGGAACAAACAAGCUCAUUACCUACGUUUGCAUAAUGAUGAACACCGUUAACCUGUGGCUUGCUGAGACUAGCCAACCCACAAUUAAACUCCUGCUCACCGGUGUGGAAACAAGUGAGAAUGAGGCGUAUCUCAAAUCAAGACAUCACUCUAUUAGUGCCGAAGAAACUAUCCAAGAGCUGAAAAAGUAUGCUACUGAAUAUAAGAAUAAGCACGGGAAUCCAGAUAUCUUGUAUCUGUUGUCAGGGUACACGAUUUUGUCUUUGCA